Molecule: ribosomal RNA, 253 nt
Filed under: uncultured bacterium
Lineage: Bacteria
Description: partial 16S ribosomal RNA
Rfam family: Bacterial small subunit ribosomal RNA
Source: RNAcentral
UACGUAGGGUGCGAGCGUUAAUCGGAAUUACUGGGCGUAAAGCGUGCGCAGGCGGUUCGUUAUGUCCGUUGUGAAAGCCCCGGGCUCAACCUGGGAAUGGCAAUGGAAACUGGCGGGCUAGAGUGUGGAAGAGGGGGGUGGAAUUCCGCGUGUAGCAGUGAAAUGCGUAGAGAUGCGGAGGAACACCGAUGGCGAAGGCAGCCCCCUGGGCUAGCACUGACGCUCAGGCACGAAAGCGUGGGGAGCAAACAGG